ACAAACUUGGUCAUUUAGAGGAAGUAAAAGUCGUAACAAGGUUUCCGUAGGUGAACCUGCGGAAGGAUCAUUACCGAUUUGAGUGAGCCUGAUCUUUUUGAUCAUGGUCUUGCUAAAUUUUUGUAUUUAAAACCCCACUCUUGUAAUUAAUAAAAGUUUUGUUGUAUUAUGAUAAAAAUAAAGAUCACUUUCAACAACGGAUCUCUUGGCUCUCUUAGAGGAAGUAAAAGUCGUAACAAGGUUUCCGUAGGUGAACCUGCGGAAGGAUCAUUACCGAUUUGAGUGAGCCUGAUCUUUUUGAUCAUGGUCUUGCUAAAUUUUUGUAUUUAAAACCCCACUCUUGUAAUUAAUAAAAGUUUUGUUGUAUUAUGAUAAAAAUAAAGAUCACUUUCAACAACGGAUCUCUUGGCUCUCGCAUCGAUGAAGAACGCAGC
This 434-nucleotide unclassified non-coding RNA is filed under the name uncultured fungus. Its description in RNAcentral is "partial contains small subunit ribosomal RNA, internal transcribed spacer 1, and 5.8S ribosomal RNA". The stretch from base 1 to 73 matches the Rfam family "Eukaryotic small subunit ribosomal RNA", at positions 1759 to 1831 of the family's 1831-position model. Lineage: Eukaryota; Fungi. The record is from RNAcentral.